GUGCUUGCUUCGGCAGCACAUAUACUAAAAUUGGAACAAUACAGAGAAGAUUAGUAUGGCCCCUGUGCAAGGAUGACAUGCAAAUUCAUGAAGCGUUCCAUAUUUUU
Molecule: small nuclear RNA, 107 nt
Filed under: Bos mutus (wild yak)
Lineage: Eukaryota; Metazoa; Chordata; Mammalia; Artiodactyla; Bovidae
Source: RNAcentral